GGGCCACUCUGAACUACAUAGUGAGACCCUAUCUCAAAAAAAAAGUAUAUCCCUUGUGAGUUAAAAUAUACCUGCACAUGGAACAGAAUUCGGUGCAAGGAGCCAGUGUCCUACUGGUUGAUGUCAUAACAGCCUGUGUCAUCAGUGUUGGAGCUGGUAGAUUCUAGUUCUGGCGGAACACUGCUCAUCCAAACACAAACUCUUUAACCACAGACCAUAAUUAUUCCUAACAAAGAAGGUCGGAUUCUCUUCCUCAGAGUACAGUAGUUCUUAAUCCAGCUCUGGAUGGUUUAACAGUAGUAUAAAAGAUGUUUGACCUCGAUACAAAGACUAUAAUCUACAUUGGUGGCAGCUUACUGAUCGUUGCAGUUAUACUGAUUGCUGUUGCCACUAGUCUUUUCUUCAAAGUCACCAAAGUGCUGAAGUGAGUCGUGGGGACAAGAGUGAACAAUGCUUCCUCAAAUGGGAGACCUGGUGCUCUGCUUGAGCAGGGUCAUUCCUUAUUACUGGGGCUACACUGUGGUUGAGGUCAAGAACCACAGGCGGGUUUGAAAAGGCGAAGACAGAGCAGCAAAAGUACUUCAUUGUGAAGCCAUCAACACCAAGGACAAGGUCAUCCUGGCUGGAGCCUCCACGACUGAGUAUCGUCCCACUGUUUCGCCCUGUGAUGAAUGUAAAAUGUAUGCAGAUCCCUUGCCACCUUGCUUUUGUGAGAUAAAUGAGGGAUUCUAAUGUGGGAUUGGUGGACACAAAAGUCUUCAUAAGCGAUAUUUCUUAGUAGAAUGUUUUGUUACUCAAGUCACGUUCUACGCCAUUUAUAGUCUUGUGUCCUCUCACAUGACAUUUAUGUAUUUUUGAUUACAUUGCAAUAAUGAAAAUAAUCCUUUCUACCUCUA
Molecule: long non-coding RNA, 896 nt
Organism: Chinchilla lanigera (long-tailed chinchilla)
Lineage: Eukaryota; Metazoa; Chordata; Mammalia; Rodentia; Chinchillidae
Exons: 4
Source: RefSeq, a predicted model, not a curated record